Long non-coding RNA from Amblyraja radiata (thorny skate), 167 nucleotides. RefSeq lists it as uncharacterized. The record is from RefSeq and is a predicted model, not a curated record. The transcript is spliced from 3 exons. Lineage: Eukaryota; Metazoa; Chordata; Chondrichthyes; Rajiformes; Rajidae.
AAACCUGUACGUCUUUGGUGUGUGGGAGGAAAACCGGAGCUCCCGCAGAAAACCCGCGCGGUCAGAAGGAGAACGCACAAUCUCCGCACAGACGGCACCGGUUGUCAGGAUCGAACCCGGGUCUCUUUCGCUUGCAGCAACUCUACCGCUGCGCCACUGUGCUGACC